ACGGCUCAGUAACACGUCGGUAACCUACCCUCGGGAGGGGGAUAACCCCGGGAAACUGGGGCUAAUUCCCCAUAGGCCUGAGGUACUGGAAGGUCCUCAGGCCGAAAGGGACUUAUGUCCGCCCGAGGAUGGGCCGGCGGCCGAUUAGGUAGUUGGUGGGGUAAUGGCCCACCAAGCCGAAGAUCGGUACGGGCUGUGAGAGCAGGAGCCCGGAGAUGGACACUGAGACACGGGUCCAGGCCCUACGGGGCGCAGCAGGCGCGAAACCUCCGCAAUGCGGGAAACCGCGACGGGGGGACCCCGAGUGCCGUGGCAACGCCACGGCUUUUCCGGAGUGUAAAAAGCUCCGGGAAUAAGGGCUGGGCAAGGCCGGUGGCAGCCGCCGCGGUAAUACCGGCGGCCCGAGUGGUGGCCGCUAUUAUUGGGCCUAAAGCGUCCGUAGCCGGGCCCGUAAGUCCCUGGCGGAAUCCCACGGCUCAACCGUGGGGCUUGCUGGGGAUACUGCGGGUCUUGGGACCGGGAGAGGCGGGGGGUACCCCUGGGGUAGGGGUGAAAUCCUAUAAUCCCAGGGGGACCGCCAGUGGCGAAGGCGCCCCGCUGGAACGGGUCCGACGGUGAGGGACGAAGGCCAGGGGAGCAAACCGGAUUAGAUACCCGGGUAGUCCUGGCUGUAAAGGAUGCGGGCUAGGUGUCGGGUGAGCCUCGAGCUCGCCCGGUGCCGUAGGGAAGCCGUUAAGCCCGCCGCCUGGGGGAGUACGGCCGCAAGGCUGAAACUUAAAGGAAUUGGCGGGGGAG
This 795-nucleotide ribosomal RNA is filed under the name uncultured Thermococcus sp. RNAcentral's name for it is "bacterial SSU rRNA". It matches the Rfam family "Archaeal small subunit ribosomal RNA", at positions 85 to 876 of the family's 1478-position model. Lineage: Archaea; Methanobacteriati; Methanobacteriota; Thermococci; Thermococcales; Thermococcaceae. The record is from RNAcentral.